GAUGAAGAACGUAGCGAAAUGCGAUAAGUAAUGUGAAUUGCAGAAUUCAGUGAAUCAUCGAAUCUUCGAACGCACCUUGCACCCUUUGGACUGCUCCAAAGGGUAUGCUCGUUUGAGUGUCAUUGUACUCUCACACUCUCUGAUCCUUUGGAUUUGGGGAGCGGUGGACUUGGGUGCUUGCUGCUUCCUUGUGGCUCACCUGAAAUGCAUCAGUGCAUCUCUCGAUUGGACAUAGCACGGCGUGAUAAGUGUCUUCGCCGGCACCUCAUAUGAGGGUGGCCGAUCGGGAGCUCUGUGCUUUCAAACCGUCUUCGGACAACGCUGACAACUUGACCUCAAAUCGAGUAGGACUACCCGCUGAACUUAAGCAUAUCAAUAAGCGGAGA
This 386-nucleotide unclassified non-coding RNA is filed under the name soil metagenome. RNAcentral describes it as "partial contains 5.8S ribosomal RNA, internal transcribed spacer 2, and large subunit ribosomal RNA". The stretch from base 1 to 122 matches the Rfam family "5.8S ribosomal RNA", at positions 35 to 154 of the family's 154-position model. The record is from RNAcentral.